GUUGGUAUCGAUUAGGGGUUAAAUCACUUCGUUGUGGAUUCUACUCCGAAGAGCCGCUGGUUCGAUUCCAGCUACCGACA
This 80-nucleotide transfer RNA is filed under the name Armillaria gallica. It matches the Rfam family "tRNA". Rfam says of the family: Transfer RNA (tRNA) molecules are approximately 80 nucleotides in length. Their secondary structure includes four short double-helical elements and three loops (D, anti-codon, and T loops). Lineage: Eukaryota; Fungi; Basidiomycota; Agaricomycetes; Agaricales; Physalacriaceae. The record is from Rfam by way of RNAcentral.